Molecule: ribosomal RNA, 466 nt
Filed under: uncultured bacterium
Lineage: Bacteria
Description: partial 16S ribosomal RNA
Rfam family: Bacterial small subunit ribosomal RNA
Source: RNAcentral
GAUGAACGCUGGCGGCGUGCUUAACACAUGCAAGUCGAACGAUGAAGCCCAGCUUGCUGGGUGGAUUAGUGGCGAACGGGUGAGUAACACGUGAGUAACCUGCCCUUAACUCUGGGAUAAGCCUGGGAAACUGGGUCUAAUACCGGAUAGGAGCGUCCACCGCAUGGUGGGUGUUGGAAAGAUUUAUCGGUUUUGGAUGGACUCGCGGCCUAUCAGCUUGUUGGUGAGGUAAUGGCUCACCAAGGCGACGACGGGUAGCCGGCCUGGGAGGGUGACCGGCCCACACGGGGGCUGAGACACGGCCCAGACCCCCACGGGGGGCAGGAGGGGGGAAUUUUGCAAAAGGGGCGCAAGCCUGAUGCAGCGACGCCGGGGGGGGGAUGACGGCCUUCGGGUUGUAAACCUUUUUCAGUGGGGAAGAAGGGAAAGGGAGGGUACCUGCAAAAAAAGCACCGGCUAACUACGU